CAGAUAUUUACCUGUCUUCUCCUGCUCCUUGUUGCUGGUAUCUUCUCACUGCCCACACAGCUAGAUGACGACUCUAAGGCUGUAGAUAUCAGCUCCUCAGGAACUAAUGCUAAUCGCACGAGUGACGACCUUGCCUCGUUUUGCGUAUAUAGCUAUUCCUACAGGAUCAUAGGUAUACGCUUCAGCAGAGCCAACAAACGAAGAAUCGACAACGCUUUGGAUGCGUUCUUCACAAGACUGUGUGCACUGUAAAACAGUCAUCGAUCAAGCCAGCGAAACUUAUUUUGUGCUAGUAAC
This is a long non-coding RNA of Liolophura sinensis, 297 nucleotides long. RefSeq lists it as uncharacterized. NCBI's taxonomy places the organism in Eukaryota, Metazoa, Mollusca, Polyplacophora, Chitonida, Chitonidae. The transcript has 3 exons. The record is from RefSeq and is a predicted model, not a curated record.